UCCUCAAUAGCUCAGCUAUAGAGCGGCCAGCUGUUAACUGACUAGUCGUAGGUUCGAAUCCUACUUGAGGAG
Non-coding RNA from Gossypium arboreum, 72 nucleotides. The record is from Rfam. Lineage: Eukaryota; Viridiplantae; Streptophyta; Magnoliopsida; Malvales; Malvaceae.